GCGCAUGUGGCGGAAUUGGUAGACGCGCUGGUUUUAGGUACCAGUGCCGCAAGGCGUGGGGGUUCGAUUCCCUCCAUGCGCACCA
This 85-nucleotide transfer RNA is filed under the name Alphaproteobacteria bacterium. Its description in RNAcentral is "tRNA-Leu". It matches the Rfam family "tRNA". From Rfam's summary of the family: Transfer RNA (tRNA) molecules are approximately 80 nucleotides in length. The record is from RNAcentral. Lineage: Bacteria; Pseudomonadati; Pseudomonadota; Alphaproteobacteria.